GUUUACUUCACUUUACGCGUAGUCGAUGCGCAGAUGAGUCACGUUCGCAUCGUGCUCCCGCAUCCUUUUCUUCCCGUGCGAAUUUUCUGUAUGAACGAGUGUCGGGAGUGCCGAAUCUAGUGACGAGCGAUCGUGUGUGAAUCUUGAUGUAUUAACUUAUCCACGAGGUUACGACGAAAGCGUUUCUCGGUCGGAUCGAAAUCGAUAUCCGUUGUUCCGCGUAUGGUCGAACCGGCGUUCGAAGGAUUCCAUUCUCUUCGCGCGAGCUUUUCAUGACGUUCGGUCGACGGGCUUCGCGAGUGUUUCACGCAUCGAGGAGCAUCGUGGAGCACCGAGGAACAUCGAGAAACAUGGAGAGAAAUAUCGAGAGACCGGUGGAUUGAUUGAGACAGGCCUGAAACGAGAACUCGAGGGUGACUCUGUCAGGAUUGAUCGUACGCGGCAAAGUGAAGGAUGAACGCAACCCUUGAACCUAACAAGCAACUACGAGGAAAAGUUGCAUUAAAGGAUUCGGUCGUCAAUCGACGACAAGGAUCUACGGAAUUGAUCGUUUCAUACCUGGUGAGACGGCGAGCGCGAGGAAGGCAGCUGCGGCAACGGCGAAGAGUAUCCUGAGGGCAUUUCCCGAGCCGUGCCGUCUUCUACCCGGC
Cataglyphis hispanica is the source of this 650-nucleotide long non-coding RNA. RefSeq lists it as uncharacterized. The record is from RefSeq and is a predicted model, not a curated record. Lineage: Eukaryota; Metazoa; Arthropoda; Insecta; Hymenoptera; Formicidae. The transcript is spliced from 3 exons.